ACCUGGCUGGCUCAGUUGGUGGAGCAUACCACUCUUGGAGUUGUGGGUUCAAGUCCCACGCUGGGUA
This 67-nucleotide transfer RNA is filed under the name Mustela putorius furo (domestic ferret). It matches the Rfam family "tRNA". From Rfam's summary of the family: Transfer RNA (tRNA) molecules are approximately 80 nucleotides in length. Their secondary structure includes four short double-helical elements and three loops (D, anti-codon, and T loops). Lineage: Eukaryota; Metazoa; Chordata; Mammalia; Carnivora; Mustelidae. The record is from Rfam by way of RNAcentral.